AAAAUCUGUGUAGCGGCGAGCAAGGCCGCGUUUCGAGAAGAUAUAAAAAUUGAGAACUCGACGACUCUGGGAGAGUGGUUCGCGCGAGUCGACUCGGCCCAUACCGGAAACAUCACGGCGCCUCAGCUCAAGAGCGCUCUUGCUGUUAGUAAUAAAGUGAGCUGCUUUAAGCCGUGGUUAGCGGUUCAUGUUUUCUUUAUAAUUCGUGCACUUUAAUGUGUAUCACAGACAUUAGGCUACAACUAAUCGUGGCUAUCUUGUUCCUGAUGAUGUGCAUGAGCUAAGCAAGGCAGAGUGACUCUGGAUCUCAACCAGUUUGUCUACUGCAGUGAAGUCUUGGUGAUCCAUCAACUAUAUGAUGUUUUUCGAAUUGGAAGAUGUAGAGAAAGACAAUACUCCAAACUCCAGAGUAUUGCUUCUCAGUUAGUGCAAACUCCACACUAGCCCAAGACUUACAACCAACAGUAAAGAGAAAGAAUGGAACUCAACGAAGAUGAAUCAACUUUCACUAACAAGGAAAUAAGCUUACAAGUUACAACACUCUCCCCAAGAGCAUGAACAAUACCAUCAAAAGGAAAGAUGAAAAACUAACUCAAAAGGAUAAGCAGCAGCUAGUUAUCAAUGCAAUUGAAGACUAUUGUCUGGAAGGAACACCAAAACAUAAAGGAGUGCCACUGCACCAUGAAAACAUGCGGGUUCCCAAGACAGCCACAAUUAAGGAAUUAAUAUAAGUUGUUGGGUAUGUGGUAAGUCAUUCUAGAAAAACCACUUUAAUUUUAACAGAAGAAGCGCCCAUGGUGAGAAUGAUCAAGAACUGGAAGGAGAUCUUGAUGACGACGAUGAUGAGGAAGAAGCCCAGAACAUGCAAGCAAGUGAUCACGAGGAUGAAAGCGAAGGUAGCGCCCAGAACAUGCAAGAAGCAAGUGAGCAUGAUGAUGGAGGAGAGGCCGACGAGAGCUAUGAUCAGUAUGGUGACGAGGAACACCAAAACAUGCACGAAGCAAUUGAUCAUGAGGAAUGGGAUGAUGAUAAUGACUAUUUAAGUACAAAUGAUUUUAGAGUUUACAAGAUGGAUGUUCAGACUGGUAACUUUCUCAAGUUACAAAGACCGGACCAGAUAUUAUGUUUGACCGAUUAUGGUUCAAUGUCUCUUCAAGCGAGUGAUUUCAAAGAGUUGGAAAAGAAUAGUAUUUACUUCGCAACAAAUGGAACCUCCG
RNAcentral lists this small RNA (1217 nucleotides) under Malus domestica (apple). RNAcentral describes it as "sRNA MD05G0111000". Lineage: Eukaryota; Viridiplantae; Streptophyta; Magnoliopsida; Rosales; Rosaceae. The record is from RNAcentral.